UUGCGGCCAUAUCACGAUGAAAUACCAUUUCUCGUACGAUCACCGUUGUUAAGCCAUGUCGAGCCUGGUCAGUACCGAGAUGGGUGAACGCUUGAGAAUACCAGCUGUUGUAAG
Non-coding RNA from Acanthosepion pharaonis, 114 nucleotides. The record is from the annotation of a GenBank genome assembly. Lineage: Eukaryota; Metazoa; Mollusca; Cephalopoda; Sepiida; Sepiidae.